Molecule: small nuclear RNA, 150 nt
Filed under: Fukomys damarensis (Damara mole-rat)
Lineage: Eukaryota; Metazoa; Chordata; Mammalia; Rodentia; Bathyergidae
Description: U2 spliceosomal RNA
Rfam family: U2 spliceosomal RNA
About the family: U2 is a small nuclear RNA (snRNA) component of the spliceosome (involved in pre-mRNA splicing). Complementary binding between U2 snRNA (in an area lying towards the 5' end but 3' to hairpin I) and the branchpoint sequence (BPS) of the intron results the bulging out of an unpaired adenosine, on the BPS, which initiates a nucleophilic attack at the intronic 5' splice site, thus starting the first of two transesterification reactions that mediate splicing.
Source: Rfam by way of RNAcentral
AUCGCUUCUUGGCCUUUUGGCUAAGAUCAAGUGUAAAACUGUAAGAUAGUAAAUUAGUGUUGCUGUAAGCCAUGGAGUUUGUGUAAAUUUAUUAACAGCAGCAAUAAUGAACAUAUACCAUCACACAAUAAUAUAAUUUGUUGGCAUAAU